AAAUUAACACACACCAUGAUCAGGCAGGUGGUUUUCCCAGGGCGAGGCUCAUCCCCUGCACUCCGGGUAUGCUGACCCCUGCGAUUUUCCCAAAUGCGGGAAAUCCGACUGCAUAAUUUGUGGUAGUGGGGGACUGCGUUCGUGCUCUCCCCUG
RNAcentral lists this small nuclear RNA (154 nucleotides) under Anser cygnoides (Swan goose). Its description in RNAcentral is "U1 spliceosomal RNA (ENSACDG00005015983.1)". It matches the Rfam family "U1 spliceosomal RNA". From Rfam's summary of the family: U1 is a small nuclear RNA (snRNA) component of the spliceosome (involved in pre-mRNA splicing). Its 5' end forms complementary base pairs with the 5' splice junction, thus defining the 5' donor site of an intron. Lineage: Eukaryota; Metazoa; Chordata; Aves; Anseriformes; Anatidae. The record is from Rfam by way of RNAcentral.